GUGCCCGUAGCUCAACUGGAUAGAGCAGCGGUCUUCUAAACCGCAGGUUGCGAGUUCAAGUCUCGCCGGGCAUG
This 74-nucleotide transfer RNA is filed under the name Chthoniobacter flavus. Its description in RNAcentral is "tRNA-Arg". It matches the Rfam family "tRNA". From Rfam's summary of the family: Transfer RNA (tRNA) molecules are approximately 80 nucleotides in length. Their secondary structure includes four short double-helical elements and three loops (D, anti-codon, and T loops). RNAcentral also lists the same sequence under 1 other name. Lineage: Bacteria; Pseudomonadati; Verrucomicrobiota; Spartobacteria; Chthoniobacterales; Chthoniobacteraceae. The record is from RNAcentral.